GGAUGCGAUCAUACCAGCACUAACGCACCGGAUCCCAUCAGAACUCCGAAGUCAAGCGUGCUUGGGCGAGAGUAGUACUAGGAUGGGUGACCCCCUGGGAAGUCCUCGUGUUGCAUCCU
This 119-nucleotide ribosomal RNA is filed under the name Nicotiana sylvestris (wood tobacco). The record is from RNAcentral. Lineage: Eukaryota; Viridiplantae; Streptophyta; Magnoliopsida; Solanales; Solanaceae.